CACCGCAGGUCCCUCCUACCACUUCACCCACUGGUCCCGUCCAAUCAGAGUCCAGUUUGAGCCGCGCCAAAAAUCAGUCGCACCUGUUGCCCAUGCAGGGCAAAUUUUUAUGUUAGGUGCGGCUUAUAAGACGUCGGGGUGAGGCCGGCUCGAGUCUCCCGUGGAAUAUGGGAUACGUCGGUAACGUUCUGCUUUGUCCAAGCUCUUUUUCUGUGAAAGCUAUGGCUGAGAGCAGAGAGACGAUUCAGGCAUAGAGGGGCUGGAACUUCGGCGUGAGCCCGAGACAGGCGGUUCACGUGUCCGGAGCAAUCCAGAGGAAAAAUAACCGACGUGGACGUCAGGAUGGUCGAAGGGAUUCAGGGGAGUAGCCGAGACCAUUUGGGAGAAUGCACCGCGAUUGGCUUCGCUCAUCGGCUCUACACUUAAGUGUGGGUGUGAGAGAGAGUGAUGGAGAGGGAGGCCAAGAGAGGGGGCAAGGGAGG
Molecule: long non-coding RNA, 482 nt
Organism: Toxotes jaculatrix (banded archerfish)
Lineage: Eukaryota; Metazoa; Chordata; Actinopteri; Toxotidae
Exons: 3
Source: RefSeq, a predicted model, not a curated record